This 828-nucleotide ribosomal RNA is filed under the name Paratylenchus sp. B SAS-2019. RNAcentral's name for it is "SSU rRNA". It matches the Rfam family "Eukaryotic small subunit ribosomal RNA", at positions 72 to 912 of the family's 1831-position model. Lineage: Eukaryota; Metazoa; Nematoda; Chromadorea; Rhabditida; Tylenchulidae. The record is from RNAcentral.
CUUCAUAAGGUGAAACCGCGAACGGCUCAUUAUAACAGCUAUAAUUUACUAGACCUUGAGCAACUACUUGGAUACCUGUGGUAAUUCUAGAGCUAAUACAUGCACCGAAGUUGUUCCUCACGGAGCAAUGCAUUUAUUUGAGCAAAACCAGGCGGCUUCGGCCGUUUCUGUUGAUUCAGAAUAACUAAGCUGAUCGCAUGGGCUUGUCCCGGCGACGUGUCUUUCAAGUGUCUGCCUUAUCAACUUUCGAUGGUAGUGUACGUGACUACCAUGGUGUUGACGGGUAACGGAGGAUAAGGGUUCGACUCCGGAGAAGGGGCCUGAGAAAUGGCCACUACGUCUAAGGAUGGCAGCAGGCGCGCAAAUUACCCACUCUCAGUUCGAGGAGGUAGUGACGAAAAAUAACAAGGCCGUUCUCUUUGAGGCCGGCCAUUGGAAUGGGUACAACUUAAACCCUUUAACGAGUAUCAAUGAGAGGGCAAGUCUGGUGCCAGCAGCCGCGGUAAUUCCAGCUCUCAAAAUGCAUAGAACCAUUGCUGCGGUUAAAAAGCUCGUAGUUGGAUCUGUGCCGGCGACGUGGUCCGCCCUAACCGGCGGUACUGCGCUCGUCGGCUUUGGGCCGGUCUUCGGUCGGUCGCCUUCACUGGCGGCCGCUCGUGGCUGGCUGGUUUACUUUGAGCAAAUCAGAGUGCUCAGCACAGGCGUCUCGCCGGAAUGUUCGUGCAUGGAAUAAUAGAAAAGGAUUUCGGUUCUCUUUUAUUGGUUUUGUGAACUGAGAUAAUGGUUAACAGAGACGGACGGGGGCAUUCGUAUUGCUGCGUGAGAGGU